RNAcentral lists this ribosomal RNA (502 nucleotides) under uncultured soil bacterium. RNAcentral describes it as "bacterial SSU rRNA". It matches the Rfam family "Bacterial small subunit ribosomal RNA", at positions 26 to 518 of the family's 1533-position model. The record is from RNAcentral.
AGGACGAACGCUGGCGGCGCGCUUAAUACAUGCAAGUCGAGCGAGAACCGGACCUUCGGGUCCGGGGAAAGCGGCGAACGGGUGAGUAACACGUGGGUAAUCUGCCCUCGGUACUGGGAUAGCCCGGGGAAACCCGGAUUAAUACCGGAUAGCCUUUCGAGCUCUCGGGCUCGUUAGAAAAUGGUGGCUUCGGCUUCCGACUGAGGAUGAGCCCGCGGCGGAUUAGCUUGUUGGUGAGGUAAUGGCUCACCAAGGCUCCGAUCCGUAGCUGGUCUGAGAGGACGAUCAGCCACACUGGGACUGAGACACGGCCCAGACUCCUACGGGAGGCAGCAGUGGGGAAUUUGGACAAUGGGGCAACCCUGAUCCAGCCAUGCCGCGUGCGGAAGAAGGCCUUCGGGUUGUAACCGCUUUGUCGAGGAAGAAACGCUCCAAGCUAAUACCUUGGGUAAUGACGGUACCUGAAGAAUAAGCACCGGACUAACUACGUACCAGCAGCCGC